CCCUUCUCCUUUGUUCCUGUUUUAUGUUUGGUCCAGCUGAAGCUCUGGAUCGACGAGAAGAUGCUGACAGCCCAGGACGUGUCCUAUGACGAGGCCCGCAACCUGCAUACCAAGUGGCAGAAGCACCAGGCAUUCAUGGCCGAGCUGGCUGCCAACAAAGACUGGCUGGACAAGGUGGACAAGGAAGGGCGAGAGCUCACCCUUGAGAAGCCAGAGCUGAAAGCCCUGGUGUUGGAGAAGCUGAGAGACCUGCACAGGCGCUGGGACGAGCUGGAGACCACCACCCAAGCCAAGGCCCGCAGCCUCUUUGAUGCCAACCGAGCUGAGCUGUUUGCCCAGAGCUGCUGUGCCCUGGAGAGCUGGCUGGAGAGCCUGCAGGCCCAGCUGCACUCGGAUGACUACGGCAAGGACCUCACCAGCGUCAACAUCCUGCUCAAGAAGCAGCAGAUGCUGGAAUGGGAGAUGGCUGUGAGAGA
This 476-nucleotide small RNA is filed under the name Pan troglodytes (chimpanzee). RNAcentral describes it as "retained intron". The record is from RNAcentral. Lineage: Eukaryota; Metazoa; Chordata; Mammalia; Primates; Hominidae.